Pelobates cultripes (western spadefoot toad) is the source of this 212-nucleotide non-coding RNA. The record is from the annotation of a GenBank genome assembly. NCBI's taxonomy places the organism in Eukaryota, Metazoa, Chordata, Amphibia, Anura, Pelobatidae.
GGGAACUUUCAUACACACAUGGUGGGAGUGCCCUCGGGUAGCCACGGUGUGGCACCAUAUAGCGCAAUUAGCAUCACAGGCAUUACACACCACUAUCCCGAUGGACCCAUGGUUAUGGCUCCUUUCCAGGCCCCUCCGAGACACCCCAAGGGCACACAACAAACUGAUAGCCAAACUGGCACUAGCCACUAGGCGAGCAAUCGCGGAGAAAU